CCUACGGGCGGCAGCAGUGAGGAAUAUUGGUCAAUGGGCGCAAGCCUGAACCAGCCAAGUCGCGUGAGGGAUGACGGUCCUAUGGAUUGUAAACCUCUUUUGUCGGGGAGCAAGGCCCGCCACGUGUGGCGGGAAGGAGAGUACCCGAAGAAAAAGCAUCGGCUAACUCCGUGCCAGCAGCCGCGGUAAUACGGAGGAUGCGAGCGUUAUCCGGAUUUAUUGGGUUUAAAGGGUGCGUAGGCGGAAGGUUAAGUCAGCGGUAAAAUGUCGGUGCUCAACACCGGCCUGCCGUUGAAACUGGUCUUCUUGAGUGAGCGAGAAGUAUGCGGAAUGAGUGGUGUAGCGGUGAAAUGCAUAGAUAUAACGCAGAACUCCGAUUGCGAAGGCAGCAUACCGGCGCUCAACUGACGCUGAGGCACGAAAGCGUGGGGAUCGAACAGGAUUAGAUACCCCUGUAGUC
This 460-nucleotide ribosomal RNA is filed under the name uncultured bacterium. RNAcentral's name for it is "partial 16S ribosomal RNA". It matches the Rfam family "Bacterial small subunit ribosomal RNA", at positions 338 to 795 of the family's 1533-position model. The record is from RNAcentral.